Molecule: long non-coding RNA, 126 nt
Organism: Labeo rohita (rohu)
Lineage: Eukaryota; Metazoa; Chordata; Actinopteri; Cypriniformes; Cyprinidae
Exons: 2
Source: RefSeq, a predicted model, not a curated record
CUGUACAGCUCAGUAAUUCAGUACACAAUUAUGGAGCAUAAAAUCUUGGGAUUUACAAUACUGUUGCUGGCUUCUCAAUAUUGUUGGUGUCAAACACUGACUGAGUCUGAGUCUGUAGUCAUGAAA